CAGUAGCCGCGGGAAUACAGAGGAUGCAAGCUUUAUCCGGAAUGAUUGGGCGUAAAGCGUCUAUAGGUGGCUUUUCAAGUCCACCGUCAAAUCCCCGGGCUCAACCCCGGACAAGCAGUGGAAACUGCCAAGCUGGAGUACGGUAGGGGCAGAGGGAAUUUCCGGUGGAGCGGUGAAAUGCGUUGAGAUCGGAAAGAACACUAACGAUGAAAGCACUCUGCUGGGCCGACACUGAUACUGAGAGACGAAAGAUAGGGGAGCAAAUGGGAUUAGAUACCCCUGUAGUCCCUGUCUCUUAUAC
Molecule: ribosomal RNA, 301 nt
Filed under: uncultured bacterium
Lineage: Bacteria
Description: partial 16S ribosomal RNA
Rfam family: Bacterial small subunit ribosomal RNA
Source: RNAcentral